This 366-nucleotide ribosomal RNA is filed under the name Haemaphysalis longicornis (longhorned tick). RNAcentral describes it as "partial 12S ribosomal RNA". The record is from RNAcentral. Lineage: Eukaryota; Metazoa; Arthropoda; Arachnida; Ixodida; Ixodidae.
ACUAGGAUUAGAUACCCUAUUAUUAAGAAAAAUUAUAUUGUUAGUAUAUAAAUUGUAUGAAAACAAAAAAUUAUGGCGGUAUUUUAAGCUUUUCAGAGGAAUUUGCUCUUUAAUGGAUAAAACACCUAAAUCUUACUAAAUUUAGUUAAACAGUUUGUAUACCACUAUUUAAGUAAUAAUUUGCUAUUAUUACUAAAAUUUAUAUUAAUUAAAAAAAGUUAAGUCAAGGUGCAGCAUAAAUUUUAGUAUGAAGUGAAUUACAUUUCUUUUAAGAAAAUUUUGUUGAAAAUAAAAUUUAGGAUUUGAAAGUAAAAUUUUAAUAGAAGGAAAAUUUGAAUUAAGCUCUAAAAUAUGUACACAUCGCCC